This is a long non-coding RNA of Prunus mume (Japanese apricot), 774 nucleotides long. RefSeq lists it as uncharacterized. NCBI's taxonomy places the organism in Eukaryota, Viridiplantae, Streptophyta, Magnoliopsida, Rosales, Rosaceae. The record is from RefSeq and is a predicted model, not a curated record.
UAUACGUCAAAAUAUACACCACCUUUUCAAAACCAUCUCACCUUUCAAACCAAAAAAGCUUUGAAACACACCAAGAACAAGCAACUAUGGCUCUAAUUGUCUCAAAACUUGGUACAUUGGUGCCGGUGUGCGUGGCUUAGCAGCAGCCAAGUGGCUAGCCCAUCACAGCAUGUUUCCACGGGCACCAAUGAUACCAAGUUUUGAGACGAUUGAACAAGGACACUGUUUCUGAUUUGCUAAAGGAUAAGAAGGUCAUUGAUUUAGCUCUAGAGUGUGCAGAGUCAAAUCGAGGGGCACAAUUCAUCCUUUGAUCCCAAACAUGGCUUUCAUGGGUUAUCUCGAGAGUGUUUCGAACCUUCACUCUUCGGAACUGUGCAGCAAAUGCUUGAGCAAACAAAUUUAACAUUUCUAACACUUGGUGAACCUGGUUGUUUUCUUCGAGACUUCCACUUCUUUACUUGUUUGCUCAAGCAUUUGCUUCACACUUGGGAGUUUAAAUUUGUUACUUUUAGCAUCAACCACAGUGAUGAAAUUUGUGAGGAGAUGGGGUGGACAUCUUGGAGGAAGAAUACUUGGUUGGCGGAAGCAUUUAGCCCCUAUGGCAGUCAAGACUAUCUGAAGAAACAAUGAACCUAUACUUUGCAAUAACAUCCUGAAUUCAUAAUUGACAGGUUCUUUACACCAGAACUCAAAAUAAAGAACACCUACUUGCAGGACAAAUGAUCAAUGUAUCAUGUUCUAUUUUAUCUCAAUAAAGAAUUUUUCCAUUGUUUA